CACCACUCCCGCAUAAAAACCCAAACGCUUCCUCUCCAUCUCUCUCCGUCUCUCUCGCCAAAUUCUAUCAUUUGAAAAGAUCCAUCUCCUCUCCUGCAUCUCCUGUUCCUUCCUUCUCCUUCUCCUUCGUCUCCUUCAGACAUGUCGCUCAACCACCCCCUCUCUACUUCAGACGGCACCCCGAACACUCUCUGGUGGACCACUCACCCCACCAUGUUCCGCCAGCACAACCUCCUCCUCAAUUUCAACCCCACCGACGACGACCCGCAAGACGAGGGCUCGCCCCCGCCGCCCUACGUCCUCCGAGGGGCGCCGCCACCGGCGGAGCCGUCGCCUGCAGAGAAAGAGCCCAUGUUCGAGAAGCCGCUGACGCCGAGCGACGUGGGGAAGCUGAACAGGCUGGUGAUACCGAAGCAGCACGCGGAGAAGCACUUCCCGCUGGUGGGCGAGGCGACCCAGCAGCUGAGCUUCGAGGACGAGUCCGGGAAGUGGUGGAGGUUCCGCUACUCCUACUGGAGCAGCAGCCAGAGCUACGUCCUCACCAAGGGCUGGAGCCGCUUCGUCAAGGACAAGCGCCUCGACGCCGGGGACGUGGUCCUCUUCCACCGCGACCGCGCCGACGCCGAACGGCUCUUCAUCGGUUGGAGGCGGCGAGGGGAGUCGUCGCCUGGCGCCUCUGCAGUGGCGGCGGAGACACGUGUCGGUGGCGGUGGCGGGGGGUUCUAUGCCGGGCGUCCUUAUCCUGGGCACAAUGAUGGGCCGUCGCAACCUGGUUCCUAUACUCAUGGUCAAGCGGGGGGCGCGCCCGCCGCUGGGAACAACCCGAGGAGGGUGAGGCUAUUCGGCGUGAACUUGGAGUGCCAGCUUGACGGCGACGAGGAGUCUGAGCUACCGGGCUCGAGCCACAGUCCGACCGGCCAUGGCCUCUCCUCUAAUUCAUCAAACUAUACCCCCUCACAUGGUCUUCACUUUAUCUGAGGAAGAUCGUGUCAACCACAUGAGAAAUCGCCGAGGAUAAGAUCUGUGGACGUGACUUCUUUCUUCUCUCUCUUUUUUUUUUUUUUUUUCAUUUUUAAAUUGGCUACGGAGCCCCAACUUGGGAGUGUUCAUUGGAAAUGUUCAAGAUUUGACAAGAAAGGGUCAAAGAAACAACAACAAAAAAAAAGGGGAGAAAAUCCCAGAUUUUUAGGCAAUCCUGAAGUUCACAGCAAAGGAAAUCAAAUUGAUCAAGGAAGAAAGACUGUAGAUGGGAACAUGAAGAGAAAGAAGGUGGGUAAAGGACCCCACAAGGGAAGAAAAAGAAAGAGAAAAGCAAGAGAUCUCUUCAUCAAUGUCAAAUGGUUGAAAUCAGGGAUCCAUAUGCUGCUCCAGAAGCUAUAUAUAUCCAUAAUUUUUAUUUUUAUUUUUUUUAUCCAUGUAAUGAAAUGUUGAAAUGGGAUUGUUCGGGUAACUAGCGAAACACCAAAAAGAAAGAAGGGAAAGAAAAAGGGAAGGGACGGUGCUGGUGGGUGGAGUUGAAUAGAUCAUUGAUGAUGAUGGCAGGAUUUGUAUUUGAGUGAUGAUCCAAAGUCAAGCAACGUGACUAUAACAAGAUCGAAGAGUGGUCCUUGGUAUCAUACCGAGAGCCCAAAAGGAUCAAGCAAUCUCAGAAGAUAACAAAAGGUCGCUCAAAGCUUGAUGGACAUGGGACAGCCCUUAUAUUUGACCAACUUAUAUUCUCUUAUCUUCUUAUGGGGCAGUAUCUGGAAUUCAUGUACUAUACCAUCGGAUUUCGACGGAAGAUGCCAAUGAUUAGCACAACUAAUUUAUCA
RNA transcript from Eucalyptus grandis, 1811 nucleotides. It is a transcript of the gene named B3 domain-containing protein At2g36080, with no coding region annotated. Lineage: Eukaryota; Viridiplantae; Streptophyta; Magnoliopsida; Myrtales; Myrtaceae. The transcript has 4 exons. The record is from RefSeq and is a predicted model, not a curated record.